RNAcentral lists this ribosomal RNA (612 nucleotides) under uncultured Agaricales. RNAcentral's name for it is "eukaryotic LSU rRNA". The stretch from base 231 to 384 matches the Rfam family "5.8S ribosomal RNA". Lineage: Eukaryota; Fungi; Basidiomycota; Agaricomycetes; Agaricales. The record is from RNAcentral.
AAGGAUCAUUACUGAAGAAAUGGUAGGGNUGAUGCUGGCUCUUUGGAGUAUGUGCUCGCUCUAUCGCUCCUUCUACUCUCCACUGUGCACCUUUUGUAGGCUUGCAAUAUGGGAAGAAGUGCUCGCACACACAUUGUGUUUGCUUGCCUUCGACUUUUGUAGCCUAUGUCCAUAUACACUCUAGUAUUCUUGAAUGUAUAUUGUUGGUCUUUGACCGAUAAACCUUAUACAACUUUCAGCAACGGAUCUCUUGGCUCUCGCAUCGAUGAAGAACGCAGCGAAAUGCGAUAAGUAAUGUGAAUUGCAGAAUUCAGUGAAUCAUCGAAUCUUUGAACGCACCUUGCACUCCUUGGUAUUCCGAGGAGUAUGCCUGUUUGAGUGUCAUUAAAUUCUCAAACCUUACUGUUCCUUGUGAAUGGUCAGGCUUUGGAUUGUGAGGGUUCUGCCGGCUUUGACGGGUUGGCUCCCUUUAAAUGCAUUAGUGGUUGCUCCAUUCACUUAGGGUGUGAUAGUUAUCUACUCCCUUCAAAAUGAAUGCCCCAUCCGCUUCUAACUGUCCUUCAUGGGACAACUCUUGACUUAUUUGACCUCAAAUCAGGUAGGACUACCCGC